GCAAGUCGACGGCAGCACGGGCUUCGGCCUGGUGGCGAGUGGCGAACGGGUGAGUAAUACAUCGGAACGUACCCAGAAGUGGGGGAUAACGCAGCGAAAGUUGCGCUAAUACCGCAUACGUUCUACGGAAGAAAGUGGGGGAUCUUCGGACCUCAUGCUUUUGGAGCGGCCGAUGUCUGAUUAGCUAGUAGGUAGGGUAAAGGCCUACCUAGGCGACGAUCAGUAGCUGGUCUGAGAGGACGACCAGCCACACUGGAACUGAGACACGGUCCAGACUCCUACGGGAGGCAGCAGUGGGGGAUUUUGGACAAUGGGCGCAAGCCUGAUCCAGCAAUGCCGCGUGAGUGAAGAAGGCCUUCGGGUUGUAAAGCUCUUUUGUCAGGGAAGAAACGGCUCCGGCUAAUAUCUGGAGCUAAUGACGGUACCUGAAGAAUAAGCACCGGCUAACUACGUGCCAGCAGCCGCGGUAAUACGUAGGGUGCAAGCGUUAAUCGGAAUUACUGGGCGUAAAGCGUGCGCAGGCGGUUUUGUAAGUCUGUCGUGAAAGCCCCGGGCUCAACCUGGGAAUUGCGAUGGAGACUGCAAGGCUUGAAUCUGGCAGAGGGGGGUAGAAUUCCACGUGUAGCAGUGAAAUGCGUAGAGAUGUGGAGGAACACCGAUGGCGAAGGCAGCCCCCUGGGUCAAGAUUGACGCUCAUGCACGAAAGCGUGGGGAGCAAACAGGAUUAGAUACCCUGGUAGUCCACGCCCUAAACGAUGUCUACUAGUUGUCGGGUUUUAAUUAACUUGGUAACGCAGCUAACGCGUGAAGUAGACCGCCUGGGGAGUACG
This 830-nucleotide ribosomal RNA is filed under the name uncultured bacterium. Its description in RNAcentral is "bacterial SSU rRNA". It matches the Rfam family "Bacterial small subunit ribosomal RNA", at positions 57 to 884 of the family's 1533-position model. The record is from RNAcentral.